GAUGAACGCUGACGGCGUGCCUAAUACAUGCAAGUCGAGCGAACGGACGAGAAGCUUGCUUCUCUGAUGUUAGCGGCGGACGGGUGAGUAACACGUGGAUAACCUACCUAUAAGACUGGGAUAACUUCGGGAAACCGGAGCUAAUACCAGAUAAUAUUUUGAACCGCAUGGUUCAAAAGUGAAAGACGGUCUUGCUGUCACUUAUAGAUGGAUCCGCGCUGCAUUAGCUAGUUGGUAAGGUAACGGCUUACCAAGGCAACGAUGCAUAGCCGACCUGAGAGGGUGGUCGGCCACACUGGAACUGAGCCAGGGUCCAGACUCCUACGGGAGGCAGCAGUAGGGAAUCUUCCGCAAUGGGCGAAAGCCUGACGGAGCAACGCCGCGUGAGUGAUGAAGGUCUUCGGAUCGUAAAACUCUGUUAUUAGGGAAGAACAUAUGUGUAAGUAACUGUGCACAUCUUGACGGUACCUAAUCAGAAAGCCACGGCUAACUACGUG
Molecule: ribosomal RNA, 497 nt
Filed under: uncultured bacterium
Lineage: Bacteria
Description: partial 16S ribosomal RNA
Rfam family: Bacterial small subunit ribosomal RNA
Source: RNAcentral